GCCGCGAUGGUGGAAUGGUAGACACGCUAGACUCAAAAUCUGGUGCCAGUAAUGGUGUGCCGGUUCAAGUCCGGCUCGCGGUACCA
RNAcentral lists this transfer RNA (86 nucleotides) under Candidatus Saccharimonadota bacterium. RNAcentral's name for it is "tRNA-Leu". It matches the Rfam family "tRNA". Rfam says of the family: Transfer RNA (tRNA) molecules are approximately 80 nucleotides in length. Their secondary structure includes four short double-helical elements and three loops (D, anti-codon, and T loops). Lineage: Bacteria; Candidatus Saccharimonadota. The record is from RNAcentral.